RNAcentral lists this ribosomal RNA (192 nucleotides) under Triticum aestivum (bread wheat). Its description in RNAcentral is "partial small subunit ribosomal RNA". Lineage: Eukaryota; Viridiplantae; Streptophyta; Magnoliopsida; Poales; Poaceae. The record is from RNAcentral.
AUGACAGUGACGCUCCAGGAUAUUGCUAUGAUCACCGGUCUUCCUAUCAAUGGGAAUCCUUUAUGUAUGAGCACCGGCUCCGAUGGGUGGCGCGCGCAGAUGCAUGCCCUUAUCGGUAUGGUUCCUCCGGAGCCUCCGGAACCAGCAGCAGAAAACAAGAAGAAGGAAAGAGUCGCAGACUAUGUUUGCUGA